Molecule: ribosomal RNA, 125 nt
Filed under: Orthotrichum comosum
Lineage: Eukaryota; Viridiplantae; Streptophyta; Bryopsida; Orthotrichales; Orthotrichaceae
Description: partial 5.8S ribosomal RNA
Rfam family: 5.8S ribosomal RNA
About the family: 5.8S ribosomal RNA (5.8S rRNA) is a component of the large subunit of the eukaryotic ribosome. It is transcribed by RNA polymerase I as part of the 45S precursor that also contains 18S and 28S rRNA.
Source: RNAcentral
GCAACGAUGAAGAACGCAGCGAAAUGCGAUACGUAGUGUGAAUUGCAGAAUUCCGCGAAUCAUCGAGUCUUUGAACGCAAGUUGCGCCCGAGGCUCGUCCGAGGGCAUUUCCGCUAGAGCGUCAC